UACGAAGGGGGCUGGCGUUGCUCGGAAUCAUUGGGCGUAAAGCGCGUGUAGGCGGCCCGGUAAGUCCGCUGUGAAAGUCGGGGGCUCAACCCUCGAAUGCCGGUGGAUACUGUCGGGCUAGAGUGCGGGAGAGGCGAGUGGAAUUCCUGGUGUAGCGGUGAAAUGCGCAGAUAUCAGGAGGAACACCAAUUGCGAAGGCAGCUCGCUGGAACGUAACUGACGCUGAGACGCGAAAGCGUGGGGAACAAACAGG
Molecule: ribosomal RNA, 253 nt
Filed under: uncultured bacterium
Lineage: Bacteria
Description: partial 16S ribosomal RNA
Rfam family: Bacterial small subunit ribosomal RNA
Source: RNAcentral